UAUUGCACAAUGGGGGGAACCCUGAUGCAGCGACGCCGCGCGAGGGAAGAAGGUUUUUGGAUUGUAAACCUCUGUUCUUGGUAAAGAAGCAAGACGGUAGCCAAGGAGGAAGCCACGGCUAACUACGCGCCAGCAGCCGCGGUAAUACGUAGGUGGCAAGCGUUGUCCGGAAUUACUGGGUGUAAAGGGAGCGUAGGCGGUAAUGCAAGUUGAAUGUGAAAUCUAUCGGCUCAACUGAUAGGCUGCGUUCAAAACUGUAUAUCUUGAGUAAAGUAGAGGCAGGCGGAAUUCCUAGUGUAGCGGUGAAAUGCGUAGAUAUUAGGAGGAACACCAGUGGCGAAGGCGGCCUGCUGGACGAUGACUGACGUUGAGGCUCGAAAGCGUGGGGAGCAA
This 393-nucleotide ribosomal RNA is filed under the name uncultured bacterium. RNAcentral's name for it is "bacterial SSU rRNA". It matches the Rfam family "Bacterial small subunit ribosomal RNA", at positions 362 to 771 of the family's 1533-position model. The record is from RNAcentral.